Molecule: long non-coding RNA, 2444 nt
Organism: Zingiber officinale
Lineage: Eukaryota; Viridiplantae; Streptophyta; Magnoliopsida; Zingiberales; Zingiberaceae
Exons: 5
Source: RefSeq, a predicted model, not a curated record
GGCAUGGUAGGGCAUCAGCCAAAAACAUUCUUUUCUGCCCGCAAAUGGCUUCCUCUUCCUUCGCCUCCAUUUCGAAGCGCCUGAUCUCGCGCUCUCUGGUUCUUCCUCGCCGCCAGCAACUCUUCCUCGGCGCCGCUUCUGCCCGCUCCUACUCCACUUCGCUAUCUUUCGAUCCGGGAACCCCAGACGAUUCUGCCCCCCAGCGGCGCGUCCCCUUCCAGCGCCCCCUCGAAAACAGCCUCGAUCAAGGCGUUUACAAGGGGAUUCUUGUGGGGGAAGGUUGGGCAGAAUCCGGUGCAGAAGUAUCUCAGAAGUGGACGCGCUGUGGUGCUCUUUUCGCUGGGAACGGGAGGAAUCCAGAAUAAUCGACGCUUCCUUGAGGCCUUGACAAUGAGGAACCGAGAGAUUACACCGAUCGAUUUUCUGUGCAGUGGCACAGGGUCUGUGUGUACCCAGAUCGGCUCGGCAACCUAGCUCUCAAGCAUGUCAAGCCAGGGUUAGAUGAUGAUGAUAUUAUCUUAUACUGUUCUGAUUACAAUCAAGUUUAUUUGGCAUCGUGAAGGAGUCGUCUGAACUUUUAACUAUCAAUCUUGUAUGUGGAGGGAAACCUUGGGACUAAAGUUUUCACCUGGUUUAGUUAGACGAUUAAGAGAAAUUGCCAUUCGACGAGAUGGUCGUCUUCUGUUUCUGAAUCAUGGUAACACAGCUGCUGAAUCAGAGGCGCCUAAAAAUGUUGAUUAUUACUGAGAAGCAUGAUCUGGAUUCACCGAUCUGGAUUCACCACUCCAGGUGCAAAAAGCUUUAGGAACAUUGUCUAGCAGAUGGCUGGGAAAUAGCUACCGAAGUCGGCAUUCCAGGGCUAACUCGCCUUCUUGUUGAUGCGUGCUAUAACUCAGCAGAUGAUUUUUGCUCUAGGUUCCACUGUUUCAGGAAAUUGUGAUCCUUGCCUCGUUUCAAAAAUACUUUCCCAGACUUUGAUCUAGAGUUCUUUACUCCAUUCAAAUAAUAUUUUAUAAAAUUGUGAUAUUUGCCUGUGUUUUAACCUCCAUUCUUGAUCCCUUUCAAGCAUUGGUCGCUCAUCAGAUGAUCUAUAUCAUUGAAAAGAUCGAUGCCUCAGUGAUUCUUAAGAGACCUAGCUCUUGCUAAGCUUUCUCCAGCUGGUGUUGCUUGCGAGCUUCCUUUCUAUUUCUCUGAGCUGCUGAAAAACAAAGUGCUUUCUGCUAGGGAAUCUGAAGCUGUUGGACGCCGGACAAACAGUGGCCGUGGAGCCUAUUUAUGAGGUAAAGGGAGUGAGUGGCAAAUGACAGGGCGGGAAGAGCCAUUGAUGCUCUUUUGUGGUCCAAGAUUCUUGCACAUCAUGAACCAUGGCCAUUAAAAGCUUUGAGGACGCUGCCAAUCAAGCAAUCAGGCCUCUGGAGAUCAAUGCCAAAAUACUUCGGGAACCUACUCUUUGAAUUUCUCUGUUCUUUGUUUUCUUCUGACUGUACAUGUUAGCAAAAGUUUAGCCAGUCACCAUUUUGGAAGCCAAUUGACUUCUUUCCUGUUUGCAGUAACAAGUGAGAUUCUUUGCUCCACCAUCACAUCAAAGAAGAAAGGGAAGAACAUGAAUCAGAUCUUGUUUUGGUAAGUAAAUUGUAUCUAAUUCCUGUGUUUCAUGUGUGUUUUGCAGUGUCAAAAAGGUCACUCUUUUUGUGAUUAAAGAGACGUUAGAUCGAGCUACAGCAGAGGGCAGAGGCUUGUCCCCCGAGGGCUCCUCAAUCUGCGUGCAGCUCGCCAAUUCAAAGCGCAGCGCACGCUCCUGCCUUCGCCACGGACACGAUCAAAAAUAAAGCUUCAAACGAGGCCCACCUUCUCCCGUCUCCUUCAUCCUCCUCCUCCUCUAUAAAAGGCCCCAAGGCACCGUCCAAGAGGCCGUCAAAGGCCAAACGGGAAGAAUGAUCUUCUCCUCCGGAGGAAACCAGAAACAGGCGAGGAGGAAGCAGAGAAAGGCGUCUCCGCCGCCGCAGCAGCAGCAGCAGCGGAGGCUGAGCCAGGCCCUGCCGGAGCAGAAGGCGAAGCUUUACAUCAUCUACCGGUGCAUCGUCAUGCUCCUCUGCUGCCACGACUGACUUCUUUUUUAUUAUGUCGAAGACUAAUUUCUCGACACGAGAGAUCACAAUUCGGCGACUCCAUCUGCAUCUUGCUGGCGACGAACGAUGAUUCUGGAGUUGACUGUGCGUGGGGAGGAGAAAACGGGGACUGUAAAUCCACUGUUGUCUGCUUCGGUAUGUGAUGUUUCGUUUACGGAAUCAUGAUGGUGAUCAUGACGAGGAUGAUUAAAUUUCACCUGAAUCUUGUUCAGGUGAAUUAAAAACGAUAUUAUGGUCUUCAUAGGAGUUAGAUCCCUUUCACCACAUCAUAUGACAUAUUUAAGUUUUUUUUAAUAUUAGAUUUUCAAUUUAAUA